Molecule: ribosomal RNA, 447 nt
Filed under: uncultured Microsporidia
Lineage: Eukaryota; Fungi; Microsporidia
Description: SSU rRNA
Rfam family: Microsporidia small subunit ribosomal RNA
Source: RNAcentral
CACCAGGUUGAUUCUGCCUGACGUAUGCGCUUGUCUUGAGGACUUAGCCAUGCAAGCUAGCGAAGCAUUUAAUGUGGAGCGGCAGACAGCUCAGUAAUACAGUUAUGAUUUACCCGUAGAAGUAGGAUAACCUUGGUAAGCUAAGGCUAAUACUACAUAGCGAAUAUAGAAAUAUGAAUAUUGAUUUCGUGAUACGGUUAAGUUUCUGGCCUAUUAGCUAGUUGGUAGGGUAACAGCCUACCAAGGCGAUGAUGGGUAACGGAAAAUCAGGGUUUGAUUCCGGAGAGGGAGCCUGAGAAAUAGCUCCCACGUCCAAGGACAGCAGCAGGCGCAAAACUUACCCAAUAUGAUAAUAUGAGGUAGUGAAGAGACAUGACUUUCGUAGAGAGGGGUGCGUAAAGAACAUCCCGAUCGACUGGAGGGCAAGUCUGGUGCCAGCAGCCGCGG